Octodon degus (degu) is the source of this 133-nucleotide small nucleolar RNA. The record is from Ensembl. NCBI's taxonomy places the organism in Eukaryota, Metazoa, Chordata, Mammalia, Rodentia, Octodontidae.
AGCCUCAUUCUGGAUUAGAAUGGGCACUGCUGAUUGGUGUCCAGAAUUGGUCAAUGUGGCUAAAAGUGAGACACAGGUCAUGCUUCCAUCACAGUAAAUAUUUACAGUGGUGACAAUGAGGCCUGUAACAUCU